RNAcentral lists this ribosomal RNA (437 nucleotides) under uncultured bacterium. RNAcentral describes it as "bacterial SSU rRNA". It matches the Rfam family "Bacterial small subunit ribosomal RNA", at positions 352 to 806 of the family's 1533-position model. The record is from RNAcentral.
CAGUAGGGAAUAUUAGUAAUGGGCGAAAGCCUGAACUAGCAACGCCGCGUGUGCGAAGAAGGCCUUCGGGUCGUAAAGCACUUUUUGAGAGGAUGAGGAAGGACGGUACUCUCAGAAUAAGUCUCGGCUAACUACGUGCCAGCAGCCGCGGUAACACGUAGGAGGCAAACGUUAUCCGGAUUUACUGGGCGUAAAGCGCGUGUAGGUGGUUUGGUAAGUAGGGCGUGAAAGCUCCUGGCUCAACUGGGAGAGGACGUUCUAAACUGCCAAGCUUGAGGAUGGUAGAGGGAGGUGGAAUUCCGGGUGUAGCGGUGGAAUGCGCAGAUAUCCGGAGGAACACCAGUGGCGAAGGCGGCCUCCUGGACCACUCCUGACACUCAGACGCGAAAGCUAGGGUAGCAAACGGGAUUAGAGACCCCGGUAGUCCUAGCCCUAAA